RNAcentral lists this ribosomal RNA (255 nucleotides) under uncultured bacterium. Its description in RNAcentral is "partial 16S ribosomal RNA". It matches the Rfam family "Bacterial small subunit ribosomal RNA", at positions 99 to 354 of the family's 1533-position model. The record is from RNAcentral.
CGGACGGGUGAGUAACGCGUGGAUAACCUGCCGUAUGCAGGGGGAUACCAACUGGAAACAGUUGCUAAUACCGCGUAAGCGCACAGUACCGCAUGGUAUAGUGUGAAAAGAUUUAUCGGCAUACGAUGGAUCCGCGUCCGAUUAGCCAGUUGGCGGGGUAGAAGCCCACCAAAGCGACGAUCGGUAGCCGGCCUGAGAGGGCGGACGGCCACAUUGGGACUGAGACACGGCCCAAACUCCUACGGAAGGCAGCAG